RNAcentral lists this non-coding RNA (106 nucleotides) under Bacillus sp. (in: firmicutes). Its description in RNAcentral is "Bacillus sp. TPP sequence". It matches the Rfam family "TPP riboswitch aptamer (THI element)". Rfam says of the family: Vitamin B(1) in its active form thiamin pyrophosphate (TPP) is an essential coenzyme that is synthesised by coupling of pyrimidine and thiazole moieties in bacteria. The previously detected thiamin-regulatory element, thi box was extended, resulting in a new, highly conserved RNA secondary structure, the THI element, which is widely distributed in eubacteria and also occurs in some archaea. The record is from RNAcentral. Lineage: Bacteria; Bacillati; Bacillota; Bacilli; Caryophanales; Bacillaceae.
UAUAUCUGCUGGGGGUGCCGUUUGCAGGCUGAGAUUAAAGCAAAAGCUUUAAAACCCUUGGAACCUGAUCUGGCAUACCAGCGUAGGGAAGUGGAGUAUCGGGGCU